AAUCAACGCUGGCGGCGUGCCUAACACAUGCAAGUCGAACGCGAAAGCCCGCAAGGGUAAGUAGAGUGGCGCACGGGUGAGUAACACGUGGACAACCUGCCUUCGAGUGGGGAAUAACCUUCCGAAAGGGGGCGUAUACCGCAUAAAACCGACGGAACACAAGUUCUGGGGUUGGAAAAGAAGCAAUUUGCUCGAAGAGGGGUCCGGCGCCUGAUUAGCUAGUUGGUGAGGUAACGGCUCACCAAGGCUCGAUCAGUAGCCGUCCUGAGAGGGAGCACGGCCACACUGGAACUGAGACACGGUCCAGACUCCUACGGGAGGCAGCAGUGGGGAAUUUUUGGUCAAUGGGCGAAAGCCUGACCAAGCAACGCCGCGUGGGUGAUGAAGUAUCUUGGUACGUAAA
This 403-nucleotide ribosomal RNA is filed under the name uncultured bacterium. RNAcentral describes it as "bacterial SSU rRNA". It matches the Rfam family "Bacterial small subunit ribosomal RNA", at positions 32 to 429 of the family's 1533-position model. The record is from RNAcentral.